RNAcentral lists this long non-coding RNA (568 nucleotides) under Sarcophilus harrisii (Tasmanian devil). RNAcentral describes it as "lncRNA (ENSSHAG00000025969.1)". Lineage: Eukaryota; Metazoa; Chordata; Mammalia; Dasyuromorphia; Dasyuridae. The record is from RNAcentral.
AGGUUUUUGAAAAUUGCUAUUUGGCCUCCACCCUUCUGGGAUGAAUGAGCCCCUCCUUAUCCUCCUCUCUUCAGACAUCUCUCAUCAAUCCUGAUUCUCAUUUGAAUCACGUGCCAUCUAGAACAACAUGAUCUAGGUGUGUUCUAACUGGGAGAAAGAAGAAGACAAAGGACUUUUGCUGAUCCUGACUCUGCCUGAUCCUGAGGUCAACAGGAAGCUGAUCUGGUCUUCACAAAUAUGUGAUUAGGUGAUCCCGAAGUAUUGGAAACUGGAGGAUGGUCAUCAAUGGCAAAAGGACUGAACAAGUUGUGGUAUAUGAUUGUUUUGGAAUACUAUUGUACUUUACAGAAAGAGGAGGGAAAUAGUUUCAGAAAAACCUGGGAAGACAUCUGAAUGGAGGCCUAAUGAAGUGAACUCCACCUUGAGAACAUCACCUGCAGUAACAAGAUUGCAAUGCUGAUCAAUAGUAAAGACUUAGAUACUUUCAGCAAUUCAAUGAUCUAUGACAAUUCCAAAGGACACCUGAUGAAAAAUGUUAUUCUCAGGACUCAUGAAUUCUAAGUAUGGG